RNAcentral lists this ribosomal RNA (472 nucleotides) under uncultured bacterium. RNAcentral's name for it is "bacterial SSU rRNA". It matches the Rfam family "Bacterial small subunit ribosomal RNA", at positions 335 to 800 of the family's 1533-position model. The record is from RNAcentral.
ACUCUACGGGAGGCAGCAGUGGGGAAUAUUGCACAAUGGGCGCAAGCCUGAUGCAGCCAUGCCGCGUGUAUGAAGAAGGCCUUCGGGUUGUAAAGUACUUUUCAGCAGUGAGGAAGGUGGAUAUGUUAAUAGCAUAUUCAUUUGACGUUAGCUGCAGAAGAAGCACCGGCUAACUCCGUGCCAGCAGCCGCGGUAAUACGGAGGGUGCGAGCGUUAAUCGGAAUUACUGGGCGUAAAGCGCAUGCAGGUGGUUUGUUAAGUCAGAUGUGAAAGCCCGGGGCUCAACCUCGGAAUUGCAUUUGAAACUGGCAAACUAGAGUACUGUAGAGGGGGGUAGAAUUUCAAGGUGUAGCGGUGAAAUGCGUAGAGAUCUGAAGGAUACCGGUGCGAAGCGGCCCCUGGACAGAUACUGACAUCCAGAUGCGAAAGCGUGGGGAGCAAACAGGAUUAGAUACCCUGGUAAGGCUACUGC